CUUUUAUUUGGUUACAGGUGACACUUCAUC
RNAcentral lists this non-coding RNA (30 nucleotides) under Mus musculus (house mouse). The record is from RNAcentral. Lineage: Eukaryota; Metazoa; Chordata; Mammalia; Rodentia; Muridae.